GGGUGAGUAACACGUAGGGAACCUGCCCGUGCACCGGGAAUACGCUCUGGAAACGGAGAACAAAUCCCGAUGUACAGGAAGGAGGCAUCUUCUUUCUGUGAAACAUCCUUUAGGGGAUGGGGCGCGGAUGGACCUGCGGUGCAUUAGUUGGUUGGCGGGGUAAAGGCCCACCAAGACGAUGAUGCAUAGCCGGCCUGAGAGGGCGGACGGCCACAUUGGGACUGAGACACGGCCCAGACUCCUGCGGGAGGCAGCAGUAGGGAAUUUUCGUCAAUGGGCGCAAGCCUGAACGAGCGAUGCCGCGUGAGUGAAGAAGGCCUUCGGGUCGUAAAGCUCUGUUGCGGGGGAAAAAAGGCAGCAUCAGGAAAUGGGUGCUGACUGAUGGUGCCCCGCCAGAAAGUCACGGCUAACUACGUGCCAGCAGCCGCGGUAAUACGUAGGUGGCGAGCGUUAUCCGGAAUGAUUGGGCGUAAAGGGUGCGCAGGCGGUCCUGCAAGUCUGGAGUGAAGCGCAUGAGCUCAACUCAUGCAUGGCUUUGGAAACUGGAGGACUGGAGAGCAGGAGAGGGCGGUGGAACUCCAUGUGUAGCGGUAAAAUGCGUAGAUAUAUGGAAGAACACCAGUGGCGAAGGCGGCCGCCUGGCCUGUUGCUGACGCUGAGGCACGAAAGCGUGGGGAGCAAAUAGGAUUAGAUACCCUAGUAGUCCACGCCGUAAACGAUGAGGACCAAGUGUUGG
This 736-nucleotide ribosomal RNA is filed under the name uncultured bacterium. Its description in RNAcentral is "bacterial SSU rRNA". It matches the Rfam family "Bacterial small subunit ribosomal RNA", at positions 104 to 826 of the family's 1533-position model. The record is from RNAcentral.